GGGGUUUGGGGAGGUUCAGCCUUUUAUUCGGGCACUCAACGGAUAAGGACCUUGCUCCUUGAUUCCUGGCCGGUAUGGUUUCUGUACUUGCCAGGGAUUCUGCCUGGUGAUCCCGGAGGGAACACCUUUUCAAAAGGAACUCUUAAUACCCGAUACUUCCUAGGGUAAAAAAGCGGGGAACCUUCAGGCCUUCCCGUACUCAAAUAACGCUAUGUCGGAUUAGCUAUUUGGGGGGGUAUGGCCUCACCAAGGCAACGACUCUUAACUGGUCUGAAAGGAUGAUCAGUCACGCUGACACUGAAAUGCGGUCCAGUCCGCUCUUCGGGAGCGCAUCGUUGGGGAAUAUUGCACAAGGGGCGAACCGCUAAUCCGCCCGUGCCGCGUGUGUGAAGAAGUUUUCCGUAUUGUAAACCACUUUAAUUUGGAAGAGAGGGCAUUAAGUUAUACCCUUUGCUGUUUGGACUUUACUGACAGAAUACCGCCCGCCUACUUCGGUGCUAUCUCAGCGCUGUAAUACAGAGGUUGCAAUCUUUACUCGGAUUUACUGGGAGUAAGCGCGCGUAGGUGGUUGUACGUUGAUAGUUAAGCCCAGGGUCUACCCUGGGACUGCUCCAAAGUGGCAACUAAUGUCGGUCAGAGGUGGUGAAUUCCCUGGUAGCGUGAAUGUUAGAUUAGGAAGGACCCCAGUGGCGAGGUGCACACCUGACUGUACCUGACCUGAGUGCGAAGCGUGGGACAAACAGGUUGUGACACCUCGGCUAGUGCGGCCGUCACGAUCUCAACAGCCUUGGAAUCCUUGAGAUUUCAUGCGCCCAGUCCGGCAUUAGUUGCCGCCUGGGAGCCGUCCCAAGGUUAGAACUCGGACUGAAUUACGGGGGUCCGCACAAGCGGUGGAGCAUGUUGGUUUCCUUCAAAUCAACGAGAAGAACCUUACCAGGCCUUACAUGCAGAGAACUCUCCAGAGAUGGAUUGGUGCCUUCGGGAGGUCAGACACAGGCGCCGCAUGGCUGUCGUCAGCUCGUUUCUUGCGAUGUUGGGUUAAGUUCCGUAACGAGCCCAACCCUUGUCCUUAGUUACCAGCAGGUUAUGGUGGGCACUCUAAGGAGAUUUCUGGCGACACACCGGAGGAAGGGGGGGAGGACGUCAAGUCAUUAUGGCCCUUACGGCCUGGGCUACACACGCGCUACAAUGGUCGGUCCAGAGGGUUGCCAAGCCGCGAGGUGGAGCUAAUCUCACAAAACCGAUUUUAGUCCGGAUCGCAGUAGUGCAACUCCGAGCUGUGUGCAGUCGGAAUCUGCUAGUAAUCGCGAAUCAGAAUGUAGCGGUGAAUACCUUCCCGGGCCUUGUACACACCGCCGGUCACACCAUGGGAGUGGGUUGCACCAGAAGUAGUUCAGUUAACCUUUGGAGGUUGUCCGUGUCAGUCGUGUACGCGGCAGUAAAUUAAUUCAAUAAAAUUCCUUU
Molecule: ribosomal RNA, 1464 nt
Filed under: Pseudomonas sp. PT11
Lineage: Bacteria; Pseudomonadati; Pseudomonadota; Gammaproteobacteria; Pseudomonadales; Pseudomonadaceae
Description: bacterial SSU rRNA
Rfam family: Bacterial small subunit ribosomal RNA
Source: RNAcentral